Molecule: ribosomal RNA, 254 nt
Filed under: uncultured bacterium
Lineage: Bacteria
Description: partial 16S ribosomal RNA
Rfam family: Bacterial small subunit ribosomal RNA
Source: RNAcentral
GACGUAGGGCGCGAGCGUUGUCCGGAUUUAUUGGGCGUAAAGAGCUCGUAGGCGGCUUGUCGCGUCGACUGUGAAAACCCGUGGCUCAACCAUGUGGUCUGCAGUCGAUACGGGCAGGCUAGAAUUCGGUAGGGGAGACUGGAAUUCCUGGUGUAGCGGUGAAAUGCGUAGAGAUCAGGCAGAACACCUGGGGCGAAGGCGGCCAGCUGGGCCGUCCCUGACGCUGAGGCGCGAAGGCGUGGGGAGCGAACGGG